Molecule: non-coding RNA, 25 nt
Filed under: Cricetulus griseus (Chinese hamster)
Lineage: Eukaryota; Metazoa; Chordata; Mammalia; Rodentia; Cricetidae
Source: RNAcentral
UUCAGGUAAUGGAGGCUGGAUGAUU